UUCCCCUUAGCUCAGUCUGGCAGAGCGGGCGCUUUGGGAGCGUCAGGUCAAGUGUUCAAAUCACUUAGGGGAGACCA
Molecule: transfer RNA, 77 nt
Filed under: Klebsiella pneumoniae
Lineage: Bacteria; Pseudomonadati; Pseudomonadota; Gammaproteobacteria; Enterobacterales; Enterobacteriaceae
Also listed under: 19 other names
Description: tRNA-Pro
Rfam family: tRNA
About the family: Transfer RNA (tRNA) molecules are approximately 80 nucleotides in length. Their secondary structure includes four short double-helical elements and three loops (D, anti-codon, and T loops). Further hydrogen bonds mediate the characteristic L-shaped molecular structure. tRNAs have two regions of fundamental functional importance: the anti-codon, which is responsible for specific mRNA codon recognition, and the 3' end, to which the tRNAs corresponding amino acid is attached (by aminoacyl-tRNA synthetases). tRNAs cope with the degeneracy of the genetic code in two manners: having more than one tRNA (with a specific anti-codon) for a particular amino acid; and 'wobble' base-pairing, i.e. permitting non-standard base-pairing at the 3rd anti-codon position.
Source: RNAcentral